Molecule: long non-coding RNA, 2203 nt
Filed under: Paramuricea clavata
Lineage: Eukaryota; Metazoa; Cnidaria; Anthozoa; Malacalcyonacea; Plexauridae
Source: RNAcentral
CCCAGGUCAUCCGUCAUCUUGCUUCCACGAGGUUGUGUGCAUCAUUGUGAAAAUAACCUGCAAUGAAAUACUAUUUUCGCAGGCAAUUGUCAAAAGAAAUGUAAAGAAUGCGGCUUUUUAAACCAUUAUUCCGAAAUUGUGCCUCCAAAUAAGUACGGAACACGAAAUGUAUUUUAUAAUUUAAUAGCAAUAAACUAUACUCCCAACUCGCUCUUUUAAAAUCCCAAGUCACAGUCCCAACAUUGUUCACUCCCCCCUGUUUUCUCGCACGUGUUCAGCAAUCCCCUACUAACUCUAAAUGUCCAUUGUUGUCCUUCAAAAUACACUAAUGUAUAAAGCAAAAUAACGUCAAUUUCCAACACCCUCCCCCCAUGUGACUCAUAAGGAGUCGCAUGUUAUACUAGUAAACCCCGAUGUCUCAAUGUUUAAUUGUCAUUCGUCCUUUUCAUCCCGUUCAAACAGUUCCUUAUUCCUUGCUUCUGCUUUGACCGCUGCUUGUCGUCUUGGCUUGAAUUCUUUUGCAUUGGUAUUCAAUUUCGUCUCGCAUUUCCCCACGUCGCAUUCCAGUUCCAAGGGAUAAAUCAGUUGAAUCGGUCUUUCUAUAGUCGAUUUAGCGCAUUGAAGUUUAACUCCCCUGACAACUUUAUCUUUCCCACGAAUUAACUUCGUAACUUUCCCCAUUUUCCACUUGUUUCUGUUCUUCUCGUCGCCUUUGAUCAACACAAUAUUUCCUUCAUUGGGACCAACUGUAGUUGACUUGCUGUUGGUCUGAUGACGCUGCCGUAAACUCGUCAGGUACUCUCUUUGCCAUCGUCUCCAUAAAUGGUUCUUUACGCUUUGCAAGUACCUUGCCCUCUUUCGUAGAUCACCGUCCUCAAUAUGAUAACAUUCUAGCUGUGGCACAACAUUCGACUGUUGUAGCACAAAGGAAUUUGGUGUAAGAAUAGGAAAUUCAAUAUCAUCCUCUAAGUAGCUUAGUGGCCGGUUAUUCAUACAGAUUUCUACAUCUAGAACAACUUCCGACAGCUCUUCAAAUGUCAAAAGUCCUUUGCCGAUAACCUUGUAAAAAGCACAUUUGAAAAUUCCGAUUAAUCGUUCAAAUUGUCCGCCCCACCAGGGCGCACGUGACAAAUUGAAUCUCCACUUGAUCUCAUACUUGCUCAGUUCACUGUGGAAUUUCUCAUCUUUCAUCACCUUGUUUAACCAUGAGGCAGCCGCUUGGAACGUCUUCGCGUUGUCCGAGUAGAUAAGAGAAGGUCGACCUCGUCUGGCGAUUAGUCUUUUGAGACUUCGAAGGAAAGGGGUUGUUUCAAGACUCUUCAGAACUUCUAGGUAAACUCCCCGAGUCAAACUACAUGUAAAUAGGACUAAGUAUGCUUUCCCUUCUUGGAUUUUCUUAACUCUAUAUGUGAUUGGGCCGGCGAAAUCGACUCCGAUAACUUUAUAAGGAGUAGUCCCUUCCGUUCGCGUUGUUGGUAAUGGUCCAGGUGUUGGAGCUUGAUAAGGUUUGGUCAUAAACUUCUUGCAUCGUGCGCAUCCCUUUCGCGACUUUUUUACUAGGCGACGGAGGCGAGGUAUCCAGUAGUUCUCACGAAUCUUCGCCAUCGUCAAAAUAACUCCCCCAUGGAGCGUCUUUAUAUGAGCUUCUUCCACAAGUUUCACGGCAAACAACGAACUGUCGGGCAGGUAAAUAGGAAGUUGUCCUUGUACUCGUCCUUUGCACUUCAGAAUCUCGUUCGCAUCGGCUUGUAGGUUUAACUGAACUGAAUCAUUUUGACAUUUUGAAUCUUCUUUCGCAUCUGCUUGUACUUGUUUGAUCCACCAUAGACGUUGUUGGUCAAUCUCAUCGGUUGUUAAUGGACCAUGUUGCCUGCUGUCUACGUUCACGCGACUGUUGUCGAGGAAUCUCUUUAUCCAUGCACCAAUUCUUAGGGUUUUCGUCAAUGAAUGCUUCCUCAGAAUAUCUCCCAGGAUCGCUGACUCCACUCGUUCCACACCUACAUUGAGAAUCGCUCGCGUUGCUUUGGAUUCACUCUGAGAAUCGGCAGAUGGUUUGACAACGAGGUUCGGUGGCCAAUGACUACGAUCUGGCAGCCAAGUAGGACCCUUUAACCAGAGCUUUGUAAGUUGACCACCCCUGCUUCCGAGGUCAGCUGGGUUCUCUGUUGUCGGUUCAUGAUGCCACUCGAUUCCUUCAGCAUCU